RNAcentral lists this transfer RNA (77 nucleotides) under Streptosporangiales bacterium. Its description in RNAcentral is "tRNA-Pro". It matches the Rfam family "tRNA". Rfam says of the family: Transfer RNA (tRNA) molecules are approximately 80 nucleotides in length. Their secondary structure includes four short double-helical elements and three loops (D, anti-codon, and T loops). Further hydrogen bonds mediate the characteristic L-shaped molecular structure. tRNAs have two regions of fundamental functional importance: the anti-codon, which is responsible for specific mRNA codon recognition, and the 3' end, to which the tRNAs corresponding amino acid is attached (by aminoacyl-tRNA synthetases). tRNAs cope with the degeneracy of the genetic code in two manners: having more than one tRNA (with a specific anti-codon) for a particular amino acid; and 'wobble' base-pairing, i.e. permitting non-standard base-pairing at the 3rd anti-codon position. The record is from RNAcentral. Lineage: Bacteria; Bacillati; Actinomycetota; Actinomycetes; Streptosporangiales.
CGGGCUGUGGCGCAGUUUGGUAGCGCACCACACUGGGGGUGUGGGGGUCGUGGGUUCAAAUCCCGCCAGCCCGACCA